ACUGAAGAAGGGAGCAGGUAGCCAUUGGUUCAGAUGGAGAUCUUAUGAGGUAGCUGAGAACCAGCCUGAGGUCCCAGGAAGGGGUGGGGUGCCUAAUGGGGAAGAGAUUACUCAGACCCGGGGAUUAAAAAUUGAUAUAGCAGCCAGGUGUACCUUAACCGAGCUGAUGGAUACCCCGGAUGUCUUCAGAUUCAGCAAGUAACCCAUGAUGACAGAAAGGGGAAUCAACUAAGGCCAGAGAUAGCGAUGACAGUGCCAGUGGGCAAAUCUCUUCCAUUUCUGCAGCUGUAGGUCUAACUCUUGGAACAGAGCAAGUCCCUUCUGAGUGGAUGACAACACUGCCUUGAAAGACUGGCCUUUGAGAAGAAAGUCAUCAUGGUAUGGGAAGAUGAGAAUUGCUUCCUGCCAAAGUACAGCAAUGAAUGGAAACAAGGCUGAGUGCACAUAAUCCAAGUUCCAGUUAGUUAUUCACUCCUGCAAAGCAAUCUUGGA
Chrysemys picta bellii (western painted turtle) is the source of this 492-nucleotide non-coding RNA. The record is from RefSeq and is a predicted model, not a curated record. NCBI's taxonomy places the organism in Eukaryota, Metazoa, Chordata, Testudines, Emydidae.